UAUUAUCGACACCAAAGUGAACUUUGAUAGUCUUUAACUAUUAGUGCCAUCUUUUUGAAAACUAUUCAAAUAAUUUACACGUUAUUAUCAACAGUAAUUGAAUUUUGUCGAAUUGUUUAAUAUCGCCUUAAUAUUGUUAGCAUCUUUGAGAGAGAUGACAGUUUAGUUUAAUUUAUAGAAAAAAAUUUCUUGAUUUUAUUCAAAUCACAUACAAAUAAUAUACUUUAUUGCCAUUAACUAUAUAUAAAAAGUUUUAAUAUAUUUCAGAGAUGGUAGUAUUAGUCAAAGACCGUUAAUGAAGAUAAUUUUGCUGUUGGAUUCGAUCGCAAUGACUGGAAUAAUUUAAUCGACAACAAAGCUGAGACAACUCUUACGAAUGUUAGUUAACGAAAGAGAAGAGGAUUAGAGAUGAACACGGUACUUGCACCCAUCUAAACUGGUCUCUCUGUCCCCUGGGUACAAUAUAUCAAUUCUCUUCACCCCACCAAUGUUGCACGGUAGCAGGUGGCUCCUGACGGCCACGCUCGUUCGCACCCUUAAUUCCCAAUUAAUGUUAUACCCGUCGUAAACGUAUGCUUUACCUAUGUUGCAGAUUCUUUAAGCAUAAUUUUCCCAAAUUAAGGAUCGAUUAGGAGUGGCUCUCAGAGGUAACUGUCUAUCUUCACCGAAUUACGAGCUAUCGAGUUUCAAGAUUACCAAAUUUCACGGUCUAACGCCUCCAUCUGGAAUAGUAUAGGGUCUAUCAGGGGUGUAGAGUAAUUGAGGUAUCAUCCCUGUCCACGUCCUAAUUGGCGGAAAAUUGUUAGGGUGAAUGUCCAAGAAAUUCGAAAUUAAAUAUAUUUAAUAAC
This is a long non-coding RNA of Apis cerana (Asiatic honeybee), 848 nucleotides long. RefSeq lists it as uncharacterized. Lineage: Eukaryota; Metazoa; Arthropoda; Insecta; Hymenoptera; Apidae. The record is from RefSeq and is a predicted model, not a curated record.